GUGGUUGAGAGACAGAACAGUUUGACUUGAGCACUAACUUUCUCAUUCUUAGCAAGUUUCAUAUCAGAGGUUUUGUGAUAUUUUCAAAAGAAAGCUUAAAUGUUCCUCUUAUGGUUCUCUCAUGUCACUCAAAUGGUGUAUGAUUCCUCACCAAGGCAUAUGGUAAGAGUUGCCUUCUCUAUUUCAUCCUAUUUCUAAAAGGCUUAUGUGGAGUUCAAGGUAGGGAUGAAAGGAGAUAGCAUACUUACUUUGCAUAUAUUGCGAAGUCAAAGCUCGGAUCCUUGAAGAGAAGUGUCAUACUCCCAGAUCAAGAUGUGCAAGUGUGAUAUAUGGUGGACUAGGUUGCUCCUUUAUUUGAUAGACUCUCUAUGUAUUGAGACAUGGCUAGCAUUUUUUUCUUCUUUUUUUUUUAUAUAUGAGCUUUCAUGUGCUCAAUUUUCUUUUUCUGUGGACUUGCACAUGUCCAUCUUUUUAUUUCAUUUUGCCUAGCCUUUUGAUGUCUCAUUUACCAAAUAAUGCUUAGAGAGAUGUUCUAACAUUUAGAGUAUGGAGCAACCUAUUUAGUGGAUGCGAAAUACAUGUGGUUGCGUACUUCCAGUGUAGAAGCAGCAUAUAUAUAUGUGGUGUGUACGUGAUCCUGAUCUUAGGAGCAUGAAAAGUCUCUUAACAAGGGUCAACAAGACUUGACGACACUCAACCCAAAGCAAAUAGCUUAUGUGGAAAGGUUGCAAUUAUGUAAAGUAGAUAUGGCUGUGGUAGGAAUUCAUCACCAUUGAGGAACAAUUAAGGUUUUGAUCAUUUUAAGAAUAAAUCUCUGAUAAUCAUGCAUGCUUAGAAAAAUAUUAUAGUAGCUCUUGUCUUACUAUCUCAUGUCCCACAACAACUUAGACUUAGUUCUAGCACUUGCAACCCACAAAGUUUUUAGGUUCAUGGCAGUUUAAGUGAGCUAAGUGAUCCAUACUUAGAGAAAUACUAAGUUGCAUACUAGGCACUAGAGAAACAUUAACAAGCAACUAGUCAUCAUUUCCAUGAGGGAUAUAAACAUACAUGAAGCAUAUAUGCUAAAGGGAAAUGCUAAUAAAUAUUUAAUUUUUUUUUAAGUAAGAAUGAUAAAAUGCAUGAAAAUAAAUAGGAUAGAAUACUUACCUUAGUGGGGGAGAGGAUCUCCCCCAAGCUAGAUCUUCGCUCACUGUGGUGGCGGGAAAUUCUGGUACCAUCCAGCCCAGCGUUGUGCGUCUUCCUCUCGCACACGUCGGAUAUGUUGGCCGUUUUGUAACGCCAGUUGCAAUGUUGCUUCUUGCCCAAUCUGC
This 1310-nucleotide long non-coding RNA is filed under the name Sorghum bicolor (sorghum). RNAcentral's name for it is "long non-coding RNA (SBIC_LNC000773)". Lineage: Eukaryota; Viridiplantae; Streptophyta; Magnoliopsida; Poales; Poaceae. The record is from RNAcentral.